UGAGGAAUUUUGCGCAAUGGGAGCAAUCCUGACGCAGCAACGCCGCGUGUGCGAAGAAGGCCUUCGGGUUGUAAAGCACUUUUUGGAAGGAUUAGGAAGGAAUGUACUUCCAGAAUAAGUCUCGGCUAACUAUGUGCCAGCAGCCGCGGUAACACGUAGGAGGCAAACGUUAUCCGGAUUUACUGUGCGUAAAGCGCGUGUAGGUGGUUCUGUAAGUAGGGCGUGAAAGCUCCUGGCUCAACUGGGAGAGGCCGUUCUAAACUGCAGAGCUAGAGGAUGGUAGAGGGAGGUGGAAUUCCGGGUGUAGCGGUGGAAUGCGCAGAUAUCCGGAGGAACACCAGUGGCGAAAGCGGCCUCCUGGACCAUUCCUGACACUCAGACGCGAAAGCUAGGGUAGCAAACG
Molecule: ribosomal RNA, 403 nt
Filed under: uncultured prokaryote
Description: bacterial SSU rRNA
Rfam family: Bacterial small subunit ribosomal RNA
Source: RNAcentral